CGUAGGUAAUCUACCUUCGGGUGGGGAAUAACCCAGGGAAACUUGGGCUAACACCGCAUGAUGCAGCGGCACCACAUGGUGACAGUUGUUAAAGCGGGGGAUUUUCGGACCUCGCGCCUGAAGAGGAGCCUGCGGCGGAUUAGCUAGUUGGUGAGGUAACGGCUCACCAAGGUGACGAUCCGUAGCCGGCCUGAGAGGGCGGUCGGCCACACUGACACUGACAUACGGGUCAG
RNAcentral lists this ribosomal RNA (233 nucleotides) under uncultured bacterium. RNAcentral describes it as "partial 16S ribosomal RNA". It matches the Rfam family "Bacterial small subunit ribosomal RNA", at positions 116 to 334 of the family's 1533-position model. The record is from RNAcentral.